RNAcentral lists this ribosomal RNA (253 nucleotides) under uncultured bacterium. RNAcentral's name for it is "partial 16S ribosomal RNA". It matches the Rfam family "Bacterial small subunit ribosomal RNA", at positions 524 to 776 of the family's 1533-position model. The record is from RNAcentral.
UACGGAGGGUGCAAGCGUUGUUCGGAUUUACUGGGCGUAAAGGGCGCGUAGGCGGUUUUAUAAGCCAGAUGUGAAAGCCCACGGCUCAACCGUGGAAGUGCAUCUGGAACUGUAAGACUUGAGUAUGGGAGAGGAAAGUGGAAUUCCCGGUGUAGAGGUGAAAUUCGUAGAUAUCGGGAGGAAUACCGGUGGCGAAGGCGACUUUCUGGACCAAUACUGACGCUGAGGCGCGAAAGCGUGGGUAGCAAACAGG